RNAcentral lists this long non-coding RNA (203 nucleotides) under Citrus sinensis (sweet orange). RNAcentral's name for it is "long non-coding RNA (CSIN_LNC001563)". Lineage: Eukaryota; Viridiplantae; Streptophyta; Magnoliopsida; Sapindales; Rutaceae. The record is from RNAcentral.
AAUGUCCUAAAUAAAAAUUUAGGACUUUAAUUAGUUAAUUAGGCCUAAAAGUUUAAUAAUAUAAAUAUUUUGAUAUUUUUUAUUUUUACCAAUAUUUAUAAUUUUAUAAUUUAAAUUUUAUUAUUUAUUUACUAGUAAUUUUAAAAAAUUAAAAUGGGGAAAUGGGUAGGGGAUGGGGAUUCCACCUCAUCCCCGUCCCCUCC